UCCACCCAUCACAUAGCACUAGAGGGGAGC
Molecule: non-coding RNA, 30 nt
Filed under: Homo sapiens (human)
Lineage: Eukaryota; Metazoa; Chordata; Mammalia; Primates; Hominidae
Source: RNAcentral